UACGUAGGGGGCAAGCGUUGUCCGGAAUUAUUGGGCGUAAAGAGCGCGUAGGCGGUCCGGUAAGUCGGUUGUGAAAGUCGGGGGCUCAACCCUCGGAUGCCGAUCGAUACUGUCGGUCUAGAGUCCGGAAGAGGCGAGUGGAAUUCCUGGUGUAGCGGUGAAAUGCGCAGAUAUCAGGAGGAACACCAAUGGCGAAGGCAGCUCGCUGGGACGGUACUGACGCUGAGGCGCGAAAGCGUGGGGAGCAAACAGG
RNAcentral lists this ribosomal RNA (253 nucleotides) under uncultured bacterium. RNAcentral describes it as "partial 16S ribosomal RNA". It matches the Rfam family "Bacterial small subunit ribosomal RNA", at positions 524 to 776 of the family's 1533-position model. The record is from RNAcentral.